CGUGUUUCUCAGGCAAAACCGCAAAGUUCGCAUGCCAGUCAAGUCCACUCUAAGCGCGCGUCUCUAAGCCCACUGUGAAGCCUCAAUUAAGCCCCAAAUUUACUCACGCAAGUGUCAGACGGAUUUGUCAACUUUUUUCACGCUUAAAUUGUUGGUGUUUAUAGAUGAACUAUUGUGAUUAAGUGUAUACGAGUGUUAAUUGAGGAUUUCAUAAAAUAAAUUCAGGAACAUGGAACUUCAAACUUCACCAAUACAUCAUACACUCCAAAAGAUGCUAGAAGUGAACUAAAUAAGAUAAUUUGUUCGUAAUCGAACAUCCCUGAAAACUCUAGCGCUAACAUCAGCAAUUUGCAUCAAGUGACAUUGCAUAUUGUAUUAAACAUGAUUCUGUUAUGAGAAUCGUCCCUCAAGUGAUGAAAAAGUGAUGAAAGCCGGGACAAAACCAGUGACGAAAAAGGCGCCAAAACUUGCCGCCAAAAAUGGCAGCAACCAAAAUAUCAACAACAUCAACAACAACAACAACGUUAAUAACAGCAAUGGAAACGGGAAUUACUUGAGCAGUGGGAGUAGCUCGGAUUCGAGGAGAGGGAUCAGCCCCAGCCCCCCUUCCGUACCCAGGUCCAGGGGCAGUGAUGACUCCUUCCCAGAAAACUCGAAUGGAUCGGUGUAUACAGAUUCAAUAGUACCAGAGGAUAACAUCAAUGUAACAGUAAGGGUGCGUCCUCUCAAUCCGAAAGAAAUGGGACGGAACGAUCCAAACGUGGUCCAAUUCCCUGGAAAUGGACAAAUUUUGCUUGAAGGUCUGAACUCAGUGCCCGGUUGUACGGGCAACACCAAACUGUUUUCGUUCAAUGUGGUGUUCGAGCCCGGGGCCACACAGGAGGACAUCUUCCAGUUCUCGGGCAUCAAGCGACUCAUCGAGAUGGCAGUGGCGGGGUUCAGCACCACCUGCUUCUGUUAUGGUCAAACAGGCAGUGGCAAAACGCACACACUGACGGGACCACCUGGAUUAUUUGAUCGGAAUCCAGAUCCUUAUUCAGAGAACCAUGGACUGGUGUUCAGGUCAUUCAUGCAUCUAUUUAGACAACUUCAAGAAAGACCUGAAACACAUUUUGUGCUCAAGGCAUCCUUCCUAGAAAUCUACAAUGAAAAGGUUAUAGAUCUAUUAAAUCCUGGCUCAGCACGGAAGCCUCUUGCAGUUAGAUGGUCGAAAAAGACAAGAGGAUUCUUUGUGGAGAAUCUGUUCACAGUGGAUUGCGAGGAACUGGACGAUUUGCUAGCAGUUCUUGAAGAAGGAAUGAGAAACAGAUCAGUGGGAAGUCACAGCAUGAACGAACAUUCUAGUAGAAGUCAUACGAUACUAACAGUCAAUAUAGUAUCUGAAACACAGAUGGAGAACGGUGUGUUUAUUUCAAAACAGGGUAAAAUAAAUUUUGUAGAUUUAGCCGGCAGUGAAAUGACAAAGAAGACGCAUAGUGAAGGCAAAACGUUAGAGGAAGCUAACAAUAUCAAUAAGAGUCUAAUGGUGCUAGGAUAUUGCAUUGCAUCACUCAGUGAUAGUAAAAAGAAAGGUGGCCACAUACCCUACAGAGACAGCAAACUGACAAAGCUACUGGCUGAUAGCUUAGCAGGCAGUGGUGUCACAUUGAUGAUUGCAUGCAUAUCACCAGCAAAAUCCAAUCUUACAGAGACUCUAAACACAUUACGAUAUGCAGCAAGGGCGAAGAAAAUACGAACGAAACCGAUUAUAGUGAUGGACCCUCGGGAAGCGCUCAUCCUGAGUUUAAAGCGAGAAGUGUCGGCGCUUCAAAACGAGAACGAGCACUUAAGACACGCACUGCACUUGGCUGCCGAUCCCAACAGGUUGCUAGGAAGCAAAGUGGAGCUGCGCACUCCGCCUAACAUCGACCUGGAGCGAGUGGCGGAGAUGGACGGAGCCGAGUUGGCCGAGUUGGUUCGCCACUACGCCACCGAGAACGAGGCGCUCCGCCACGAAAACGCCGAACUGUUCUCCACGCGCGAACUGCUCUUCCGCGAUCAGGAGCUCGUCUGUCGCGAGAACGAGCGCCUGCUCAAGAAGCUCGAGGAUGUCAACUCGGUCUGUUGCCGGUCUCCGAUCAUCCCCUCGCGCCCUAACUACUCGUCUGAUGACGUCACACUCACCAGCUCCUCCUCCGAGGUGUGGACCAACCCCAUCAACGGAAGCAGCAGCGGGUCACUCAACAAUAUCAACGGACAUGUCAACGGGAUGCACAAAACUAAGGAUAAGGUGGACGGAAGGAUGUCUCCUAAACCUCCUCACAGGCUUCCCGACUCAAUACAAAAAGAGCUGGACAAAUUGCAGAUAGGCAAAACUUUGGAUGGAAUCAAUGAAUCGAUAAAGAAAAGAGCGAGUAGGAAAAGCACUUGGGAAAAUGGAAAAGCUGUGAAAGCUACUGGAGUGAAUGGAGUAAAUGGGUGAGAAAAAUAAUUAUUCGCUGUUAUUUUCCCCAUGACAGGAAUAAUGAAUUCAUGAGUUACAGGAAUCCUGAAGCGAAAGAGAAACCAUCCACCUAAUCACUCCACGAGGAUGAAGAAGAUUUAGAAUUGAAAAUUCAGUUUUGAAUUCUCUCUGAAAAUGAGAUGGGAGAGUGGUAGGGAUGAAGAUUUAGAGAUUGGACUGAAUUGUUACACAAAAUUUACUCAUGUAAAAAUUACUUCCAAAUUAACAGGUUUUUUUA
RNAcentral lists this unclassified non-coding RNA (2720 nucleotides) under Nilaparvata lugens (brown planthopper). Its description in RNAcentral is "kinesin-like protein KIF12, transcript variant X5". Lineage: Eukaryota; Metazoa; Arthropoda; Insecta; Hemiptera; Delphacidae. The record is from RNAcentral.